AUUGUACCACUUUUAUCUAGAAUGACCCCCAUUUCUUAGCUCUAUUGUUUGUAUAUAUAACGGUGUGCAGCCAUCUUGUUUUUUGUAAUUAUGUUUGCUUCAUGGAUAUGCACCUGUGAUAAUGAAGGUUUUAGUCAAAAUUUUCUUCCAAUUCUCCUCAGGAUAGGUCAUCAAUAUCAGAUUGGUGGGUGGUCGACACC
Long non-coding RNA from Bufo bufo (common toad), 200 nucleotides. RefSeq lists it as uncharacterized. The transcript is spliced from 4 exons. The record is from RefSeq and is a predicted model, not a curated record. NCBI's taxonomy places the organism in Eukaryota, Metazoa, Chordata, Amphibia, Anura, Bufonidae.